Molecule: ribosomal RNA, 497 nt
Filed under: uncultured bacterium
Lineage: Bacteria
Description: partial 16S ribosomal RNA
Rfam family: Bacterial small subunit ribosomal RNA
Source: RNAcentral
GAUGAACGCUGGCGGCGUGCCUAAUACAUGCAAGUCGAGCGAACGGACGAGAAGCUUGCUUCUCUGAUGUUAGCGGCGGACGGGUGAGUAACACGUGGAUAACCUACCUAUAAGACUGGGAUAACUUCGGGAAACCGGAGCUAAUACCGGAUGAUAUUUUGAACCGCAUGGUUCAAAAGUGAAAGACGGUCUUGCUGUCACUUAUAGAUGGAUCCGCGCUGCAUUAGCUAGUUGGUAAGGUAACGGCUUACCAAGGCAACGAUGCAUAGCCGACCUGAGAGGGUGAUCGGCCACACUGGAACUUAGACACGGUCCAGACGCCUACGGGAGGCAGCAGUAGGGAAUCUUCCGCAAUGGGCGAAAGCCUGACGGAGCAACGCCGCGUGUGUGAUGAAGGUGCUCGGAUCGUAAAACUCUGUUAUUAGGGAAGAACAUAUGUGUAAGUAACUGUGCACAUCUUGACGGUACCUAAUCAGAAAGCCACGGCUAACUACGUG